This 1382-nucleotide ribosomal RNA is filed under the name Vibrio harveyi. RNAcentral describes it as "16S ribosomal RNA". It matches the Rfam family "Bacterial small subunit ribosomal RNA". The record is from RNAcentral. Lineage: Bacteria; Pseudomonadati; Pseudomonadota; Gammaproteobacteria; Vibrionales; Vibrionaceae.
GCCUAACACAUGCAAGUCGAGCGGAAACGAGUUAUCUGAACCUUCGGGGAACGAUAACGGCGUCGAGCGGCGGACGGGUGAGUAAUGCCUAGGAAAUUGCCCUGAUGUGGGGGAUAACCAUUGGAAACGAUGGCUAAUACCGCAUAAUGCCUACGGGCCAAAGAGGGGGACCUUCGGGCCUCUCGCGUCAGGAUAUGCCUAGGUGGGAUUAGCUAGUUGGUGAGGUAAGGGCUCACCAAGGCGACGAUCCCUAGCUGGUCUGAGAGGAUGAUCAGCCACACUGGAACUGAGACACGGUCCAGACUCCUACGGGAGGCAGCAGUGGGGAAUAUUGCACAAUGGGCGCAAGCCUGAUGCAGCCAUGCCGCGUGUGUGAAGAAGGCCUUCGGGUUGUAAAGCACUUUCAGUCGUGAGGAAGGUAGUGUAGUUAAUAGCUGCAUUAUUUGACGUUAGCGACAGAAGAAGCACCGGCUAACUCCGUGCCAGCAGCCGCGGUAAUACGGAGGGUGCGAGCGUUAAUCGGAAUUACUGGGCGUAAAGCGCAUGCAGGUGGUUUGUUAAGUCAGAUGUGAAAGCCCGGGGCUCAACCUCGGAAUUGCAUUUGAAACUGGCAGACUAGAGUACUGUAGAGGGGGGUAGAAUUUCAGGUGUAGCGGUGAAAUGCGUAGAGAUCUGAAGGAAUACCGGUGGCGAAGGCGGCCCCCUGGACAGAUACUGACACUCAGAUGCGAAAGCGUGGGGAGCAAACAGGAUUAGAUACCCUGGUAGUCCACGCCGUAAACGAUGUCUACUUGGAGGUUGUGGCCUUGAGCCGUGGCUUUCGGAGCUAACGCGUUAAGUAGACCGCCUGGGGAGUACGGUCGCAAGAUUAAAACUCAAAUGAAUUGACGGGGGCCCCGCACAAGCGGUGGAGCAUGUGGUUUAAUUCGAUGCAACGCGAAGAACCUUACCUACCUCUUGACAUCCAGAGAACUUUCCAGAGAUGGAUUGGUGCUUCCGGGAACUCUGAGACAGGUGCUGCAUGGCUGUCGUCAGCUCGUGUUGUGAAAUUGUUGGGUUAAGUCCCGCAACGAGCGCAACCCUUAUCCUUGUUUGCCAGCGUAUCGGGUCGGAACUCCAGGGAACUGCCGGUGAUAAACCGAAGGAAGGUGGGAACGACUUCAAGUCAUCAUGGCCCUUACGAGUAUGGCUACACACGUCAUGCCUAACAAUGGCGCCAUACAGAGGUGCGGCCAAGUCUGUAUCGAUGAAUGCACUCGAUCUUGAGAGUGCGAAACCGCUAGUAAUCCUGGAUCAAAAUGCCACGGUGAAUACGUUCCCGGGCCUAGUACACCCCGCCCGUCACACCAUCGGAGUGGGCUGCAACUCGAAGUAAGUAGCCU